GUGCUCGCUUCGGCGGCCCAUUUACUAAAAUUGGAACAAUGCAGAGAUUAGUAUGGCCCCUGCUCAGGGAUGACAUGCAGAUUCCUGAAGCUUCCACUUUGUUC
Molecule: small nuclear RNA, 104 nt
Organism: Suricata suricatta (meerkat)
Lineage: Eukaryota; Metazoa; Chordata; Mammalia; Carnivora; Herpestidae
Source: Ensembl